CAACAGACCCCAAAGCGAUAGGGUACUGAAUACCUCCUUUCCGUGAAGCUCGACACACCCACCGGAUCGCCAUCUCUCCCGGCGUUCUACUCCGGUGAGAUCCUUCUCCAUCUCCGAUUAUCAUCACCACCAAUCUCCUCCGAGCUUCCUCUUGUUCCCGUGAUGGAGAGAAGAUGGUCAAAAUCGAAAUCAAUUUUAGAUUCCGACCACAGCCGUACGUUCUCCGUCCGACGGCCACCUCCGGCGAGAGCAAUUAAUUUUGGUGAAUCGAAGAAAUCACCUUCAUCUCUCAUCUUCGCCUCUCGAUAUGAGACAUUUAUCACCUCCAUCUUUGCAUGCGUUCUACUUCCGUCCUCUUCGGUGGUCUCCGGUGAAUCGGACCGCCGCCGUCACCGUUCAUCCAAGCCCAGGAGAUCGGCUCCGUUUCUCCAACGAGCUUCAUCUCUCCUCCGACGAGAUUCACAGCUCAAUUGCUCUUGCCUUAAUCGAUAUCUAACUCCAUCUGCUGCGUUAAUAGUCGAGAAGAAAACAAAAUUCCGGUAACAAGUCGGGCUCUUUCUGUGGAAUCCUAGGAGCAAUUAUUGACCAUGAGAUAAUCGAUUUCUCAUUCUGCUUUUCAACUGUGACUCCACCUGAAACUGGUAUCCCUCUCAACACAAUUUCAGCAAUUUUCAAACAAGUAAUUAAUUACUUGCCUUGAUUCACUUUCUCCUGACUGGCUGAUUACUCCAAUCUCAUCACGUGUGAUUUUCUUUAACACUUCUCAACAGAUACUCCCUUUUUCCAGACUUUCCUCUGAAAGAGCUACUCCCUUAGCUCUAUCUCCGUCACUGUUCACUCCGUGAAUAGUAGACGUUUUUCCCAAAUCUUCCAUUUCAGCUUCAUCGCUUGAGCUUUCUUUAACCAAACUGAUUCCUGAAGAAUCCCUUUUCUUUAUGAUACUUUCUGCUUUUUCCUUCAAGAUCCCUUCUUCCUUCAUCUCAUUUUCACGCUUCACCCACUUCUUCUUGGCUUGUAAUCAGAAUUUCUUUUACUCUUCCAGAUUUCGCCUUCCUCCACCUUUGGACUGGUGGUACUCUUGUAGGACCUUGAAUUAAUUUCUCACUGAAAGUCACUUUCUUUGACUUCUUCAUUCUCACUCCAUAUUCAGCCUUAGCAAUAUUGUUUUCAUCAGUUUCAGCCUCUGGUACACUCUUUUCAGCCUUAACAACUGUGCCUUGAAGAUAGUAAAGCCCUUCGUGAUAUUUUCCACUUGUCACUUUCUUACCAUCUUUGUAGAUAUUCACCAUGAACUCGCUGCCCUCAUACGUACAACCCGACUUCUCUAACAUUCCAUAGGAGAUCAGAUUCCUACUCAUAUGUGGCAUGUACCUCACAUCUUUGAGUAUUACCACAAAACCGUCUGGUUUCUGUAUCUGAAUUUUUCCUAUUCCUUUGACCUCACUAUGACUGUUAUUAGCCAUUAUAACCUUUCCUCCAUUGAAUUCCUUAAGAUCACUCAAGAUUUCCUUGUUUGGUGUGAGGUGGAAUGAACAACCCGAGUCCAUAUUCCAUUCUUUUCCUUGGUCUUGAGUGCUCGCAGUUAACACCAACGGUUGAUGUGGUUCUGUUGCAACGUUUGCUGAGCUUGAAGGUUUGUUUGUGUUCUUCUUGGGACAUUCUCUUUUCCAGUGCCCUUCUUUACCACAAAUGAAACAACCUUUGUCAGUUUUCUUGUACCUAGGCCUAGACCUGCCUCUGCUUUUAGACCUUCCUCUCCCCUGGUUGUUCUCACUGUUGAACUGAUUAUCUGAUCUGCCUCUUCUCUCAACAUAUAACCCUUCUGCCACUGAUCUUGAAAGCUUUCCACUCUCUGUGAGUGUUUGGUAUCGUUGAUUCUACUGCUUGAUUUAGGAGAAGAAACUUUCCUAGAUGCAGUAUAUUCUAGAGACCUAAUUGAAUUUAUGUUGGCCCUUUUGUUUUGGUAGAAAUUGAAGUUUUCGUGAUUUUUUUUUGUAAUCUAGGGUUUUAUUUUGGUAAACUUUACUCCAAUUUUUUUUUGGAUAAACGUAUCUCGACUUCUUCGUUUGACCUUGAAUGUUGACUUUCUUUUUAGCGUUCUAUUUUCUUAGGUCGUUUUGUUCCAGAUUUUGUGUUGUUAGUGUUUAGUAUCCUUGAUUUUGAGGUGUUUCUACUAUUAAACCAUCGAUGGGUUUUGGCUGAUUUAGGAUAGAUGGCGAUCAAUUGAGGCUCAUUUGUUCAUGUUUUCAUCAAUCACAUGCGUCGGAUGUGCUCCACCACGCUGCUGCAUUCUAGGUAAAGCAAAUGGAGCAGGAGGCAAAUCACCAUUGGUGUUCCUCUUCCUCUCCACAAGACGUCGUACUUUCCUUAGCAUGUAGAGGCCUUGUAGCUAGGUUGAAAUCUUGUUGAGUUGAAAUAACAAGUAUGUUUGGUGGUAGUCUGCCUAGAAGAGUCUCAUCCAACAUUUCUUCCAUAAAAAGCGAAUCUACAACAUUGAACGAUCUCUCAAAUUCAUUCGGUAUAUCCUCUCCUAGAUGUGCUACAUUACGACAUCCAUCAUCCGCGCAUAGACAUUUUCUUACGGGAGCUUCAAGGAAUCUGAAUCCCAACGCUUAAAUAAUGGCAUGCUCGGUUCGGUAUUAAACAUGUUUGUGUCUACUAUAAACCAUCACCGGCUCGCAAACUGUAUAAUCCCUAUCAACUAGCUGAAGACAACUUUGAAUAUUAUCUAGAAUGUGAGCCACGAGAAUGUUCCUAGAGUAACUGCAGUUUUCACUAUCAUGAAAUACAGCAACAACAUGAUCUUCAAAUUGAGUCAGGAUCAUGAUGUUGGUGUAUUUUAGGAUAGUGAAAACUGCAGCUUCUCUAAGAAGAAUCUCGUGGCUUGCAUUCUAGAUAAUAUUCAGAGUAGUCUUUGGCUGGUUGAUACAAUUAUAUAGUUUGCGUGUCGGUGAUGGUUUACAGUGGUCACAAACGUGUUUUUUUACCGUACCGAGCAUGUCGGUAUUCAAACGUUGAGAUUCAGAUUCCUUGAAAUAUCUGUAAGUAGACGUCUAUGUGCGGCCGAUGGAUACUGUAAUGUAGCACAUCUACGAGAGGGUAUACCUGAUGAACUUGAGAGAUCGUUCAAUAAUGCAGAUUCGCUUCUUAUGUGAGAAAUGUUGGGUUAGGCUUUUCUAGGCAGACUAUCACCAAACAUAUUUGUUAUUUCAAACAAACGAGAUUUCAGCUUAGCUACAAGAGCUCUACAUGCUACAAGAAUGGGAUAGAAUGCUGCUCCAUAUGCAAAUUGCCUCCUGCUCCAUUUAUUUCAAACCAAUGGCGAUUUGCCUCCUCCAUUUGCUUUAGCUACUUGGGAAUGGGAUAGAAUGUUGCAGUGUGGUGGAGUACAUAUGGCGCAUGUGAUUGAUAAAAACAGGAACAUAUGAGCCUCAAUUGAUCGCAUGAUUAUUCUUAUGUUCAUCUUUAUCGAUGUUGCAUGAUUAUUCUUAUGUUCAUCUUUAUUGAUGUUGAUUACGUUGGUUGGUUUUUACAAACACAGUUUUAAUGUUUGGUUUUAUUUAAGAGUCUUAGAUUCUAUCAAAAACUUGGAAGUUUUAAUGGUCAUAGAUUAACUGAGCUUCCCCCCUCCAAAUCUUUUUUGUAGUGAUUUCGUUUUCUGAAACACUUAAUCUCGCAAUAUGCUAAUCAUUGUGUGACAAUUUGCUCUUCUUGUUUUUAAUGCAAUUUGAACAAAUGAGAUUCUUUUCCGCCAAUGGAAAGAAUGAUAAAUAACAAUCAAUAUUCCAUAUUUAUGUUCUUGAACUAAGCUGUGAUAGAGACGCCUCAAUCUGAAUCUGGAAACUUAACUAAACAAUUAAGUUUCUUUAGAGAAAUCUUGAUGAUCUUUUACAAUUUUGCAACGUAGUGUACAACAAAUGAAGGUAAUAUUUGUUUUAUGUUCCAAGGCACAUUACUUUUGUACAAGAAAGUAGAUGUGAAUUAAUCGUAAAAUUUUGACAGUCACAUUUGAGCUUUCUGGUCUCAUGCUUCCUCGAGAAGAAGCGCAAUGGCUGAAUCCAUGGUCACUACAUCAGGCUCGGAAUCUUCGUUAUAUCGAUCCACAUUAUUCAGAGUAAUCCCUGCAGAGUCACAAAGGGAGCAAAAUCAUUACACAAAAUACACUUCCAAAACGAAUUAGUGGUAAAAAAAUUAAAUUAAUUAAAGGAUAUAUAUCGGGUACACCAAAUUCGGUUUUAGUCCAUAUCCUAAGUAAUGAGACCCGUCGGUUUAUAAACAAAUUUCGGUUUCAUUUCGUCUAAGCUUUUCGGUUUGGUUCAGUUUAGUUUGUUUGUUUUUGUUUCUUCUGUAACAGAUUCUUUUUCUACUUUAUUUCUCAUCUUCUGUUUUUCUUGCAUAUGCAUCGUUACGACACCAUUUGUUUAUUUUAUUAACAGGUGAGUUGUGAAGUAAGGGAUAAUGUAAAUUAAACCUGCAUAUUUUGUUUGUUUCA
This is a long non-coding RNA of Arabidopsis lyrata subsp. lyrata, 4492 nucleotides long. RefSeq lists it as uncharacterized. The record is from RefSeq and is a predicted model, not a curated record. The transcript has 2 exons. Lineage: Eukaryota; Viridiplantae; Streptophyta; Magnoliopsida; Brassicales; Brassicaceae.